CCUACGGGAGUCAGCAGUGGGGAAUAUUGGGCAAUGGGCGCAAGCCUGACCCAGCAACGCCGCGUGAAGGAAGCAGGCUUUCGGGUUGUAAACUUCUUUUAAGAGGGAAGAGCAGAAGACGGUACCUCUUGAAUAAGCCACGGCUAACUACGUGCCAGCAGCCGCGGUAAUACGUAGGUGGCAAGCGUUGUCCGGAUUUACUGGGUGUAAAGGGCGUGCACCCGGGAAGACAAGUCAGAGGUGAAAUCCCGCGGCUCAACCGCGGAACUGCCUUUGAAACGGUUUUUCUUGAGUACCGGAGAGGUCAUAGGAAUUCCUGGGGUAGCGGUGAAAGGCGUAGAGAUAAGGAAGAACACCAGGGGCGAAGGCGGAUGACUGGACGGCAAGUGACGGUGAGGCGCGAAAGCGUGGGGAGCAAACAGGAUGAGAUACCCCAGUAGUC
RNAcentral lists this ribosomal RNA (442 nucleotides) under uncultured bacterium. RNAcentral's name for it is "partial 16S ribosomal RNA". It matches the Rfam family "Bacterial small subunit ribosomal RNA", at positions 338 to 795 of the family's 1533-position model. The record is from RNAcentral.